GGUUAAGCGACUAAGCGUACACGGUGGAUGCCCUGGCAGUCAGAGGCGAUGAAGGACGUGCUAAUCUGCGAAAAGCGUCGGUAAGGUGAUAUGAACCGUUAUAGCCGGCGAUGUCCGAAUGGGGAAACCCAGUGCAAUUCGUUGCACUAUCGUUAACUGAAUCCAUAGGUUAACGAGGCGAACCGGGGGAACUGAAACAUCUAAGUACCCCGAGGAAAAGAAAUCAACCGAGAUUCCCCCAGUAGCGGCGAGCGAACGGGGAGCAGCCCAGAGCCUGAAUCAGCAUGUGUGGUAGUGGAACGGUCUGGAAAGGCCGGCGAUACAGGGUGACAGCCCCGUACACAAAAUUGCAUGUGUUGUGAGCUCGAUGAGUAGGGCGGGACACGUGGUAUCCUGUCUGAAUAUGGGGGGACCAUCCUCCAAGGCUAAAUACUCCUGACUGACCGAUAGUGAACCAGUACCGUGAGGGAAAGGCGAAAAGAACCCCGGCGAGGGGAGUGAAAAAGAACCUGAAACCGUGUACGUACAAGCAGUGGGAGCCUCUUUA
This 547-nucleotide ribosomal RNA is filed under the name Citrobacter sp. Ca226. RNAcentral's name for it is "partial 23S ribosomal RNA". It matches the Rfam family "Bacterial large subunit ribosomal RNA", at positions 1 to 587 of the family's 2925-position model. Lineage: Bacteria; Pseudomonadati; Pseudomonadota; Gammaproteobacteria; Enterobacterales; Enterobacteriaceae. The record is from RNAcentral.